Felis catus (domestic cat) is the source of this 585-nucleotide long non-coding RNA. RefSeq lists it as uncharacterized. Lineage: Eukaryota; Metazoa; Chordata; Mammalia; Carnivora; Felidae. The record is from RefSeq and is a predicted model, not a curated record. The transcript is spliced from 4 exons.
UUCCGUCCAUGCAGUUGACAAAAGCCUCCGUACGCUCUCGCCCAUGUUCAUAUAAGGAACAGUCCCGGAGGUGUUCUUGAGCAGCACCCAGAAGACAGUGACUUGUAUUCUGUGUCCUCCUAGGUGUCGCGAAGCUGAAAAAGCGGGGGCCCCUUCUUGAAACGAGGCAGCAGGCUGGUGCUGAGGUGGCCGUAGGAGCACAGGACACAGGUGUCCCCGAGGAGGAAAGAAGGCGGCACCAUCCUGUCCGGAGUCACCAGGCUGUUGCUGAGGUGGCCGUAGGAGCACGAGAAGAAGGUAUGUGUCCUGGAAACUGUUUCUUGAUGAGGAAAAUGUUUCGGAUGAGGUGUAGUUGGGGCAUUCUUGCUGUCUUCAGUCUGGAGAGUACCUGGAUAUCAGGGUCCUGGGGGGACUGGUGCUGGAGUAUGGGUGGGAAAGACCGACAUCCCCGGUGAAACCUAUGUCCAUGUUUCUAUAGUAUGAGAAAGACAAUGGAUUCCUUCUGUGCGGUGUGAUUGUGUGUGCAUGAGUCUUGGGGUUGUUCUGUAUCUCUGUAUGUCGCAUGAUUGUGAGUGUGUAUGCGUG